GCACUCUUUUACUGUGAAAACUGCGAAUGGCUCAUAAAUCAGUUAUCGUUUAUUUGAUAGUACCCUACUACAUGGAUACCUGUGGUAAUUCCAGAGCUAAUACAUGCGCAAAACCCCGACUUCGGAAGGGGUGUAUUUAUUAGAUAAAAAACCAAUGCCCUUGGGGCUCCUUGGUGAUUCAUAAUAACUUCACGAAUCGCAUGGCCUUGCGCCGGCGAUGGUUCAUUCAAAUUUCUGCCCUAUCAACUUUCGAUGGUAGGAUAGUGGCCUACCAUGGUGGCAACGGGUACGGGGAAUUAGGGUUCGAUUCCGGAGAGGGAGCCUGAGAAACGGCUACCACAUCCAAGGAAGGCAGCAGGCGCGCAAAUUACCCAAUCCCGAUACGGGGAGGUAGUGACAAUAAAUACUGAUACAGGCUCUUUUGGGUCUUGUAAUUGGAAUGAGAACAAUCUAAAUCCCUUAACGAGGAACAAUUGGAGGGCAAGUCUGGUGCCAGCAGGCCGCGGUAAUUUCCAGCUCCAAUAGCGUAUAUUAAAGUUGUUGAGUUAAAAAGCUCGUAGUUGAACCUUGGGCCCGUCCUGCCGGUCCGCCUCACCGCGAGUACUGGUCCGGAUGGGCCUUUCUUUCUGGGGAAUCCCAUGGCCUUCACUGGCUGUGGCGGGGAACCAGGCUUUUACUGUGAAAAAAUUAGAGUGUUCAAAGCAGGCCUUUGCUCGGAUACAUUAGCAUGGAAUAAUAGAAUAGGACGUGCGGUUCUAUUUUGUUGGUUUCUAGGACCGCCGUAAUGAUUAAUAGGGUAGUCGGGGGCGUCAGUAUUCAGCUGUCAGAGGUGAAAUUCUUGGAUUUGCUGAAGACUAACUACUGCGAAAGCAUUCGCCAAGGAUGUUUUCAUUAAUCAGGGAACGAAAGUUAGGGGAUCGAAGAGAUCAGAUACCGUCGUAGUCUUAACCAUAAACUAUGCCGACUAGGGAUCGGGCGGGGUUUCUAUGAUGACCCGCUCGGCACCUUACGAGAAAUCAAAGUUUUUGGGUUCUGGGGGGAGUAUGGUCGCAGGCUGAAACUUAAAGAAAUUGACGGAAGGGCACCACAAGGCGUGGAGCCUGCGGCUUAAUUUGACUCAACACGGGGAAACUCACCAGGUCCAGACAAAAUAAGGAUUGACAGAUUGAGAGCUCUUUUUGAUCUUUUGGAUGGUGGUGCAUGGCCGUUCUUAGUUGGUGGAGUGAUUUGUCUGCUUAAUUGCGAUAACGAACGAGACCUCGGCCCUUAAAUAGCCCGGUCCGCGUUUGCGGGCCGCUGGCUUCU
RNAcentral lists this ribosomal RNA (1305 nucleotides) under fungal sp. RNAcentral's name for it is "SSU rRNA". It matches the Rfam family "Eukaryotic small subunit ribosomal RNA", at positions 68 to 1411 of the family's 1831-position model. The record is from RNAcentral. Lineage: Eukaryota; Fungi.